GAACUAUGUUAUCAAAAGCGAACAAAUUCAAAAUAUCCACGUUAAAAGUACUUGUGUCUUUGAACUAACAUUGUCAAAUAAAGAGCUAUGUGAUACAGUGGAAGGGAAGAUUAUAGUGGUGAACGGGGAAGAAUGCUCAUCGUAUGACACAGCCAUUGAAACACACAACUCCAAAGCAGAAGAAGAAUUAACACUCACAGAAAAAAAUAUCACUAGGAAUGAGCACUACAUUUGGAGUGAAAGAAGAAGAAGGAGAAGGAGAAGAAGAAGAAGAAGAAGAAGAAGAAGAAGAAGAAGAAGAAGAAGAAGAAGAAGAAGAAGAAGAAGACGGAAACACCACUCACAUCAAUCGAU
Long non-coding RNA from Mytilus californianus (California mussel), 354 nucleotides. RefSeq lists it as uncharacterized. Lineage: Eukaryota; Metazoa; Mollusca; Bivalvia; Mytilida; Mytilidae. The record is from RefSeq and is a predicted model, not a curated record. The transcript has 3 exons.